Molecule: long non-coding RNA, 550 nt
Organism: Phyllopteryx taeniolatus (common seadragon)
Lineage: Eukaryota; Metazoa; Chordata; Actinopteri; Syngnathiformes; Syngnathidae
Exons: 3
Source: RefSeq, a predicted model, not a curated record
UAAACGCUCGCAAGAGAGGGAGGUGUUUGCGGUAUGUUUUGGAGAACAACGUACGUACAUACAUUCCAAACAAUACUGCUUCGGACGGCAGCUUCACCAGAGCCAUCGAUGGUCGACGGAGUGAAGAACCACUCUGGGCUAGACACCUCCUUGUGGGACAGCUGGAUGGACAUUUUGGGGCUGUUGGCGUUGUCAAUAACACUUGAUACGGUCCUUCCCACUUUGGUGAAUGCCAGUGCUUCUUUUCGAUGCUUCGAAUUAGGACCCAGUCUCCCGGUCCAACCAACUUGGUUUCCUGCUGGAGUGGAGGAAGGAGUCAUGGCGUGGCGGUCAAAGCUCUGAGUUUGUGAAACCUGUUUUGCUGAUGAGCCAACGGACAAUUACCGUUUGUUGGCUUGUGUUCGUCAGUGGUGCGGCCAACAUAAGGGUGUGUGUGUGUGUGUGUGUCAAAGAUGGAUCUAGGUGUACCAUGCAUGUAAAAACACAACAAUGAUACACAGGAAAAUAAACAGAAUAAACAAAUUGAUCGGAACAAGAGUCAUGAGUGUGU